This 253-nucleotide ribosomal RNA is filed under the name uncultured bacterium. Its description in RNAcentral is "partial 16S ribosomal RNA". It matches the Rfam family "Bacterial small subunit ribosomal RNA", at positions 524 to 776 of the family's 1533-position model. The record is from RNAcentral.
UACAGAGGUCCCAAGCGUUGUUCGGAUUCACUGGGCGUAAAGGGUGCGUAGGUGGUUGGGCAAGUCUGAUGUGAAAUCUCCGGGCUUAACCCGGAAAUGGCAUUGGAAACUGCCUGGCUAGAGUGUUGGAGGGGGGACUGGAAUUCUCGGUGUAGCAGUGAAAUGCGCAGAUAUCAGGAGGAACACCGAUGGCGAAGGCAGGUCUCUGGGCAUUAACUGACGCUGAGGAGCGAAAGCAUGGGGAGCGAACAGG